Hippopotamus amphibius kiboko is the source of this 1526-nucleotide non-coding RNA. NCBI's taxonomy places the organism in Eukaryota, Metazoa, Chordata, Mammalia, Artiodactyla, Hippopotamidae. The record is from the annotation of a RefSeq genome assembly.
GUCCCCUGCCUGUCACAUCUGCUGGGAACCCAGUCUGGCUCACUGCCCCAGACAUGCUGCGGGCCCCAGCGCUGCUGCUGGUUCUCCUGGCUCCUGUCACUCAGGUAUCUUCCGACUUGAAAGUGGACAAGAUGUCAGUCACUAGUAAGACUGGGGAGACUGCUUCAUUCACUUGUGAGCUUACACAAGCUGCCAGCUAUCUCCACUUGUACAAACACCAAGAGGGGACGGCCCCACAACGCCUUUUCUACUAUGACAUCUCCAAGGCAAAGAUUGUGUUCGAAUCAGGAAUUAAUCAAGCAAAAUACCAUGUGUAUAAAGGCACAGGGAGGAGCUAUACAUUUGCAAUCCUAAAUCUGGAAGACAGAGAUUCUGGCAUGUACUACUGUGCUGUCUGGGAUGAGCACGACAUAAAAAUCUUCAACAUUGGAACAAAACUUGUCGUCACAGACAGAAACCUUGCUGUAGACAUGUCCCCCAAGCCCACUAUUUUUCUUCCUUCAAUUGCUGAAAUCAACCAUCAUAAGACUGGAACAUAUCUUUGUCUUCUGGAGAAUUUUUUCCCUGAUUUUAUCAAGGUUCAUUGGAAAGAAAAGAACGGCAACAGAGUUCUGCCAUCCCAGCAGGGAAACACCAUGAAGACUAGUGACACGUACAUGCAGUUCAGCUGGCUGACCGCGACUGAAAACUCAGUGGAUAAAGAACACGUGUGUGUCGUCACACAUGAGAAAAAUAAAGGAGGAACUGAUCAAGAGAUUCUUUUUCCUUCAAUAAAUGAAGUUAUCUCCUCCUUUGUCCCUACCACGGAGUCUCCAAAUGAUUGUUUGAACGAUGAAAGCAAAAUCACUGGUAUUGGUUCUACAAAAGCUUGUCUGAAAGAUACAACUGAAGGCCCUGUUACUACUAAUUCUACAAAAGAGUGUCUGAAAGAUGACAACAACACCCUGCAGCUCCUGAGCACCUCUGCCUUUUACACCUACCUCCUGCUCCUCCUCAUAAGUGCCGUCUACUUCGUCAUCACCGCCUGCUGUGUGUGUAGGAGAGCAGCCCUCUGCGGUGCUGGGAAGAGCUCGUGACAGAGGGGGCCACAAAGGGGUCCCCUUUCCCUCAUCAUCUCUUGUCCUGAAAAUUCUCUGCUGAGGAUCUUGCUGGGCUUCCUUUCUGGGUUUGGGUUAUUUCAGAUAUUGUGUAUAUUUUUCUAUUAUUGGGUAAGGGUUUUUCAAACCAUUGUGCAAGCAGACAGCUUUACUCUGCAACAGGGAAUUCUGCCAUUACUCAGGGGCAGGGCCCAGGGCUGGUCCAGGGGAGCCUCUCCCACCUCUGUCCCCACAGCCUCAUCAGCUCCUCCCGCCCCCGAGCCCUCCGCCUUCUGAGCGCACACAGCGGGCAGCUCCCAUCUCCUCCCUCAGCGCCUCCAUCCAGACCACGGCCCCGACCCUCCCUGCCCACACCCUGGAGCCGCCAGCUUGCUACUUAAAUGCUGUAUGUAGAUUUUCAUAAAAGUCACAAAAAAUUUAAAAAUAUAU